This 479-nucleotide ribosomal RNA is filed under the name uncultured bacterium. Its description in RNAcentral is "partial 16S ribosomal RNA". It matches the Rfam family "Bacterial small subunit ribosomal RNA", at positions 28 to 507 of the family's 1533-position model. The record is from RNAcentral.
GAUGAACGCUAGCGGGAGGCCUAACACAUGCAAGCCGAGCGGUAUUGUUUCUUCGGAAAUGAGAGAGCGGCGUACGGGUGCGUAACACGUGUGCAACCUGCCUUUAUCUGGGGGAUAGCCUUUCGAAAGGAAGAUUAAUACUCCAUAAUAUAUUGAACGGCAUCGUUUAAUAUUGAAAGCUCCGGCGGAUAGAGAUGGGCACGCGCAAGAUUAGCUAGUUGGUGAGGUAGCGGCUCACCAAGGCGAUGAUCUUUAGGGGGCCUGAGAGGGUGAUCCCCCACACUGGUACUGAGACACGGACCAGACUCCUACGGGAGGCAGCAGUGAGGAAUAUUGGUCAAUGGGUGCAAGCCUGAACCAGCCAUCCCGCGUGAAGGACGACUGCCCUAUGGGUUGUAAACUUCUUUUGUAUAGGGAUAAACCUACCCUCGUGAGGGUAGCUGAAGGUACUAUACGAAUAAGCACCGGCUAACUCCGUG